CUCAACAACGUCAACCCAGAACAAGAGCGAAACCAGAAACUCCAGCAGUACGUGACUCGUCCAAAACAGCCACGUAGUGCGCCCAUCGAAUCGAGUCUCGCACGUAUUUCUCUCCCUCGACCUGAUCCUCUUGAAAGUUGGAGGACAAGGCCAGGUGUCUCAAUCUCCUUCCAAGCUCGUUCUUGGCUGAAAAUUGGACGACUCUCCCUUCUUUUCUAUUUGAAAAUAGUACGAAUUCGUACACCCUCCAGCUCACCCACCCUUAUCUUUGCUGAUUUUUGAAUUUGGGAUUGUCCCACAUAGUGUCUAACAAGAAAUUCCCCCAAAUCUCUCUUAUAUAAAUCCCUUUCUUUUCACUGUUCAGAGGAGGAUUUUCGGAGACCAAAGAAUACCCAAAAACUUUUGGGAAUUCUUGGUUCCACAAUUCAAAUUUUAAAACGUUUUGUGGCUUUUUGAGUUAAAUAGGUGGAAUUGUUUCCAAACUCGUUGUCCCGAUUUGCUGCUCAGCACAAUGUAAUCAUGUUUUCUUCAACUCUAUUGGAAAAUUAGAAUACCCCUGUUGUUUAAUUGUCAAUAUUUACAGUAAGUUGAAAUUAGAAUACCCCUUUUGUUUGAUUGUCAAUAUUCACAGUAAGUUGUGGAUGAUUAAUGCUCAUGUUUUUCAUUUUCAUCUCAGAACAUGCUCUGUAGCUUUAAAAAAAAAUAAUCCUUUCAUUUCAUGGUCUCGCCUCUUUCACUUCCCACAUUAUUUUAUCCCUAUGAUGGCAUUAUUCUAUCUCCUUAUUUGUGAAAUUUGGUUUGAGAUGAUUAGCUUUUCGUAGUUGUGUUACUUCUAUGUCUGUUGUUUAAAUUAUAGUUGGACUGGUAUCAUAGGGAUCAUCUCUAUUUCACUCUCCUGUUACGUGAGUCUGGUCCAUAAAAAUGAAAAAUAAAAUUGUUUCCUUACAAAGAUGUUUUGAGAAGCAUGGUUGGGUAUUUUACAUCAUGUUUGUGCUUUCUUUCACCAUUGGUUUCAUAAGAUAUUGUCGGCUAUUCAUCCUGCUUGCUUAAGUGGUAGUUCUGACCAAUUUAUUGUGCUUACAUUUAAGUGUUAGUUGGGUGUAAAUGGAGCCUGUAGCAGCUUAUUUGGACUGUUAUACUUACUGUUUGAAUUAGUUUUCUGGUUGUUUCAUUGUUUGUUUAAAUUAUGAUCAGUUGGCGACUGAAAGGGUGCAAAACUCUAUGUUCAAUAACCUUUGUGCCUCUUCCGUGUAAUUGUUUAAGUUAGAGUAUGACAUUCAUAAUUAUUUCCAUUGCACUUCGUUACUUGCUCAUAUUUCUUAGCAACACCAUGUAGUUAGGAUGACUACGGUUAAAUUCCUUUAUUAGUUUUAAGAAAUCAUAUUUUAUUACUUUAAAAAUAUUGUUCACUGUGUUUUGGAUGUUUUACAUGAUGAUAACUAGAUCGUUAAUUUGACAUGAUAUUAUUCACAUUGAGGUUCUUAUUUUACUCUUUUCUUUUCCUCCUUUUGCAUGAACACGCUUUCCGUGAAUGAAUCCAAUGGACUCCCCUCUCUUGCAUUUUCCUCUUUUUGAGUCAACCUUCUUCGGAGUUGUGAAAGGGAGCUAAUAUUAUUGAUUUAGACACCCAAAAAUACAGCAGCAGCAGUAGCCUAAAUGGCUAAAAGAAUAGCAUUUUAUCGUACUUGAAAAGUCCCAAAAAUUGCUCUAAUUGAGGCAGAGUUACGAUAACCUCAAAAGGCUGAAAAUGAGGAGCAAAUUUGGGUUAAAAUUCCUAAUUAAUCAAGCAGUAGCAGCAGCCUUAGAAAGGCUAAUUUUUUUUUUAAAGUUUUGGACUUUCAAAAGUCCAAGCUAAACGGCAGCGGCAUCAACCUGAAGGGCUGGGACUUGGGGGUGAAAUAAAAUUUCAGCCACCCCCUCGUUUUCUUAUUCUCUUAUUUUCCUUGAUAUUAGUAUAUUUUCUUUAUUAUAUUUGAUUGUCAAAAACCAACAACUUUAAAAUUUUCUUCUUGACAUAGAAAAAAUUCCCACGGA
Molecule: long non-coding RNA, 2034 nt
Organism: Solanum lycopersicum (tomato)
Lineage: Eukaryota; Viridiplantae; Streptophyta; Magnoliopsida; Solanales; Solanaceae
Source: RefSeq, a predicted model, not a curated record